This 245-nucleotide long non-coding RNA is filed under the name Lathyrus oleraceus (garden pea). RNAcentral's name for it is "Pisum sativum (pea) long non-coding RNA (PSAT_LNC015255)". The record is from RNAcentral. Lineage: Eukaryota; Viridiplantae; Streptophyta; Magnoliopsida; Fabales; Fabaceae.
GAAGAGCUUGAAGCUAAAGGAUUGCCGGAUUAACUCAGGUAAGGGGGGUUUAUCGUCGUUUAAUGGGUAUUAUGGGUUAACAUGUAAUGGGUAGUAAUAAGCCGUUGAAUUGACCCUAAUUGGGAUGAUGAGUGCUGAAAAAUUGUGAUGAAUAAGUUAUGUUAAAGCUGUAAUUGAAUCUAUAAUUGGAUGAGUUGUGAUUUUCCGAACGUGUAGCUUUUUACGGAAUUGGAAUCGGAGGUCCG